UGGGGAAUUUUGCACAAUGGGGGAAACCCUGAUGCAGCGACGCCGCGUGAUUUAGAAGGCCUUCGGGUUGUAAAAAUCUUUUCUAUGGGAAGAAAAUGACAGUACCAUAGGAAUAAGGACCGGCUAAUUACGUGCCAGCAGCCGCGGUAAUACGUAAGGUCCGAGCGUUGUCCGGAAUCAUUGGGCGUAAAGGGUACGUAGGCGGGUAAGCAAGUUAGAAGUGAAAUCCUGUAGCUCAACUACAGUAAGCUUUUAAAACUGCUCAUCUUGAGAUAUGAAAGGGAAAGUGGAAUUCCUAGUGUAGCGGUGAAAUGCGCAGAUAUUAGGAGGAAUACCGGUGGCGAAGGCGACUUUCUGGCCAUAAUCUGACGCUGAGGUACGAAAGCGUGGGUAGCAAACAGG
RNAcentral lists this ribosomal RNA (402 nucleotides) under Bacteroidota bacterium. Its description in RNAcentral is "Bacteroidetes bacterium partial 16S ribosomal RNA". It matches the Rfam family "Bacterial small subunit ribosomal RNA", at positions 355 to 776 of the family's 1533-position model. The record is from RNAcentral. Lineage: Bacteria; Pseudomonadati; Bacteroidota.